Paramuricea clavata is the source of this 1017-nucleotide non-coding RNA. The record is from the annotation of a GenBank genome assembly. NCBI's taxonomy places the organism in Eukaryota, Metazoa, Cnidaria, Anthozoa, Malacalcyonacea, Plexauridae.
UUUGUUCUUGUCGCGUUCGCACACGAACGCAGCAUUCUGAUUCGCUGUUUGCUGUUGGAUUCUAUGAUUAAAUCAGUGAUUCAUCAUCACAAAGGCUCUCGGUAAGCUUAAAGUUGGAUCUGAUCACUUUCUUCGAUUAAAAAUGGAACAAGAACAGACGGUUUAUUGUUUACUUGAAGGAAGAGAUGCUUUGCCGUUAUGCCAACGGGGAUUUCUUGUCGUGAAGUAUUGGAACUUGGAAUAGCAACAUUACCACUGAGGGCAAACUAUAGUAACCUUUUAAUACUUGAGUUUCAUUAAUUUCAAACAUUUGAUACGUUUAUAUGUUCCUCAAGAAAAUUAUCUUUUGGUUGAGGUUGACUUUGUUUUUGCACUAAAGAAAAACAGCGCUUUUCGUGAUGAAGAUAUAUAGGCAGUUGCAUGUAAGCCUAUUCGAAACACUUUGCGAUUUGCGGGGCUUCUCUGAGAGGGCGAAACAGAAGACGGUAAAUGCCGUUUGAAACGAUCUACACUCUGAACGCUCUUUUCUUUCGUCGAGUUUUUUACUAAAUUAAACAAGACGCCUGCUCAGGCGUUCACACUGGCCUGAAAAUGGCAACUUUCGUGGUAGAGUGUAAUGUGUAGUAGAGAAGUAGAUAGGGACACAGGAGGUCUGGAUCAUAUAAAUACAACCAAUAAAUACAAUCAUGAUCAGCAACUAUCAACCAUAAUAUACCAAGACGCCGGCUCAGACGUACCUUCCGGCUUCGGGCAACUCAACCUGACAAGCCAGUUCCGCUGUAACUAUGAUAAUCAACUAUCAAGCGUAAAUAAUGAUGGGCCAAUAAUAACGAAGAAAUUAUAUAGUCCUUGAUUUUUAAUGCCAUUAUAUGGCUCGUUUCAGGUGCUAAAAAGUUCAUAGACAUAGACGAUUCUUCUAAAAAAUACGCCAAUUUCUUUCCAUUUAUAAUUUUAUAAGAUAAACUGAUCCCAAGCCCUUCUCUAACCUCAAACAGUAAACAUCUAAUAAACAAUUUC